GACGAACGCUGGCGGCGUGCUUAACACAUGCAAGUCGAACGGAAAGGCCUCUUUCGGGGGGUACUCGAGUGGCGAACGGGUGAGUAACACGUGAGUAACCUGCCCUUGACUUUGGGAUAACUUCAGGAAACUGGGGCUAAUACCGGAUAGGAGCUCCUGCUGCAUGGUGGGGGUUGGAAAGUUUCGGCGGUUGGGGAUGGACUCGCGGCUUAUCAGCUUGUUGGUGGGGUAGUGGCUUACCAAGGCUUUGACGGGUAGCCGGACUGAGAGGGUGACCGGCCACAUUGGGACUGAGAUACGGCCCAGACUCCUACGGGAGGCAGCAGUGGGGAAUAUUGCACAAUGGGUGGAAGCCUGAUGCAGCAACGCCGUGUGCGGGAUGACGGCCUUCGGGUUGUAAACCGCUUUCGCUCAUGACGAAGCUUUGUGUGACGGUAGUGGGUAAAGAAGCACCGGCUAACUACGUG
RNAcentral lists this ribosomal RNA (467 nucleotides) under uncultured bacterium. RNAcentral's name for it is "partial 16S ribosomal RNA". It matches the Rfam family "Bacterial small subunit ribosomal RNA", at positions 28 to 507 of the family's 1533-position model. The record is from RNAcentral.